Molecule: ribosomal RNA, 301 nt
Filed under: uncultured bacterium
Lineage: Bacteria
Description: partial 16S ribosomal RNA
Rfam family: Bacterial small subunit ribosomal RNA
Source: RNAcentral
CAGCCGCCGCGGUAAUACGAAGGGGGCUAGCGUUGUUCGGAAUUACUGGGCGUAAAGCGCACGUAGGCGGAUAUUUAAGUCAGGGGUGAAAUCCCGCAGCUCAACUGCGGAACUGCCUUUGAUACUGGGUAUCUUGAGUAUGGAAGAGGUUAGUGGAAUUGCGAGUGUAGAGGUGAAAUUCGUAGAUAUUCGCAGGAACACCAGUGGCGAAGGCGGCUAACUGGUCCAUAACUGACGCUGAGGUGCGAAAGCGUGGGGAGCAAACAGGAUUAGAUACCACGGUAGUCCCUGUCUCUUAUAC